This 301-nucleotide ribosomal RNA is filed under the name uncultured bacterium. Its description in RNAcentral is "partial 16S ribosomal RNA". It matches the Rfam family "Bacterial small subunit ribosomal RNA", at positions 509 to 809 of the family's 1533-position model. The record is from RNAcentral.
CAGCAGCCACGGGAAUACGAAGGGGGCUAGCGUUGUUCGGAAUUACUGGGCGUAAAGCGCACGUAGGCGGACAUUUAAGUCAGGGGUGAAAUCCCGGGGCUCAACCCCGGAACUGCCUUUGAUACUGGGUGUCUAGAGUAUGGAAGAGGUGAGUGGAAUUCCGAGUGUAGAGGUGAAAUUCGUAGAUAUUCGGAGGAACACCAGUGGCGAAGGAGGCUCACUGGUCCAUUACUGACGCUGAGGUGCGAAAGCGUGGGGAGCAAACAGGAUUAGAUACCCCUGUAGUCCCUGUCUCUUAUAA